CCCGACGGAGCUCUGAGGUCCUAGUGAGCCUCACAUUAUUAGGCUCUGAGUGCUGGGGGGAUUUUUCAGAAACAAAAGAAAAGCUUCUAAAUUUUAAAGAGUGACUAAUCCAUGUGAAAGGAUGGGACAUAAUGACCAACAAUACAGGGCAGUGGCAUUUUUAAAUAGUGCCAACAAUAAGAGCACUUGUAAUUCAGAGGGAGAAGGGGUUUCUGGGAAGAUGGUUAGAAGGGGCUUAAAGGAGGCUUAAUUGAAGAGCCUUAAAAGAAAGACCAAAUUUAGUUUUUCAGUGCCUUCUCUAGCUUUCUAGAAGUUGUUAUGAGUGGACCUGACUACCUAGAGAGAGUAAUACAGAAGCUCCGUGCCGAUCACAGCUACCUCAUUACCAUGUUCCUCCAAGAUGGCCGCCCCUGAGGAGAAUCAUCAACUGGGCUUUACGGAAGAGAGAAAUCCAAACGACCAUCAGCAACAAAUGAAAGACUGAAGUUGAAAGGAAAUCCAUAAUUUUUGAAUGCUGGCCGAGGUCUGUGACCUCUGACUGAAUGGUUUCCAAGCUCCGAAUUCCUAGGUGAUGUUUUCAUUUGUUCACACUUGCUGAAGAAGGGAAAGGCUCUCUGAUUUACGUGUAAGCAAAACAAUCUAAACAGUAGGAUAAAAUCAUGUUGGAAUGGAGUUCUGUGUGGAUGCUCCUUUGAACCAAAUCAGUUCCACAACUGACCCUGUCAGGGACAUAUAAAUUUAGCAUUUUGGUGUGGAUACAGAAGACGAGAUUAACACAGAUCAAGUAACAUGGAAAUAAAAAAGGAGACAAUGCUGGAUGAUACAGGGGCAGCCAACAAGAGGAGAAAACCCAAGCAUUGGCAAAUGCCUCAUUAUCCAAAGAACACUUGUUUCAGGUGGAAAAAAAUUAUUCUUCAAUAUUCGUAAGAAUGAGAUUGGAUAAAGGACACAAAUGAAGUCCAGACCAAGUACAAAAACAUGAGCUCCUUCUCCUGGCUGCUCAACUAAUGCAGACUUAGCCUGAGGAUGAGAUAACUAUCUCAACAGCCAUUCCAUUGCUCAGACUUCAAAUUAUAGUAAUUAUGACAAUUUGUGCCAAUAGCCACGAGGUGGGAUUUUUGAUGUGGUUAAAAAUAACAUCUGUAAAACCCAAUAAAAAUUACA
Molecule: long non-coding RNA, 1164 nt
Organism: Homo sapiens (human)
Lineage: Eukaryota; Metazoa; Chordata; Mammalia; Primates; Hominidae
Product: long intergenic non-protein coding RNA 1206
Source: Ensembl